Molecule: ribosomal RNA, 253 nt
Filed under: uncultured bacterium
Lineage: Bacteria
Description: partial 16S ribosomal RNA
Rfam family: Bacterial small subunit ribosomal RNA
Source: RNAcentral
UACGGAGGGUGCAAGCGUUGUCCGGAAUCAUUGGGCGUAAAGAGCGCGUAGGCGGUCCGGUAAGUCCGCUGUGAAAGUCAAGGGCUCAACCCUUGAAUGCCGGUGGAUACUGUCGGGCUAGAGUCCGGAAGAGGCGAGUGGAAUUCCUGGUGUAGCGGUGAAAUGCGCAGAUAUCAGGAGGAACACCUAUGGCGAAGGCAGCUCGCUGGGACGUUACUGACGCUGAGACGCGAAAGCGUGGGGAGCAAACAGG